CCCAGGCUCCAAAUUUUCUUGCCCUUUGCAACCCCAAGUUUUGCGUUCAUUAUUUCUCCACAUGAAGACUAGAGACCAAGCCUGUGGGAUAGGUGGGGUCGUGAUAUGAUCUCUUGGAAGUUAUAAUCUCUACCAAUUGUUGCUUCACCUCAAACUCAUCCAUCAUCUUCCUCUACAAAAGAAAUAAAAUAAAGCAACAUCAAUAUGUACACACACACACAUAUAUAUAACAAGCCCAAUUUAAAAUCUCCAACUUGCAUACACAUCAAGAAAAGACAAACUUAAACUCAACGCAGACUAAUUUCCUUAUAAAAAUGGAGUUCAAAUAAGUUAAUGCACUUUAACUUAAACUGAAGAAAGAAAACUUACUCUUGCAUAUCUUUGGCGCUGCUCCCACUGAUCUCAGACUUAUUAUUUUUCGGAGGAAAAGGGCUGUCUGGGAGGCAAAAAACAAGGAAGUUAUAACCGUAAGGAUAGAAAGAGCAGUGAAAGUUUUGGUGCCUAAUCAUACAUAAGUAGACUUAAAUCAUAUUCCUUUUGCCAGUCCGAUAUAGCAAUUCAAAUUCCUUUCCAUUUAGUACUACAAUAUGCAUCUUCUGUGCCAUCAUCAUUGACUAGCAGCUCUAAGCAAAAUCAGGGGAUAAAAGAAACAAGAAGUACAUUAAAAACAAGGAAAAGAAAAGGAAAAACUCACUAUUCUGCUGCAAAAGUUAGUCCUCUAGUCUUAAAAUCAUGGAUGCUUUACCAGCUAAUGUAAGUAGUAAUUUCAACCUUCUACAUAUUGCCAACCUAAAAAUUUGAGAACUACUUGAACUUAUAAUAAACAAGAUUAAAACUGACAAACCAAAAAUAAUAACUUAUUAAACAGCUGUAAGUGAGCCCCUUGUAUGAUCAAAUUAUUUCUCUCUAUUCAAAAAGACAAUCAAAAAAAGAUAAGAUCUCCUCUCUCCAACAAAAAGAAAUGAAUCUAUAUGGGAAUGUUUAUGCACAGUCUAAACCAAGAAAACUAAUUUUAGAAAAUACAAACAUAGCAAAUCACUUAAUUUUGAGAGAGCUUUAGAUCAAAUUACUCUUCAAACUCAAAAUAGUAUAUGCCUCCACCCUCCUAAAUUUAACUAAUCAUCAUAAUUCAAGCAAAUGCCAAAAGCAUUAUUCUUUUGCUCAUUUAACCCAAAACAACAACAUAAUAAAACCAAUCACAAAAAGCACCAAAUAUUCAAGAGAAAGCCUCAAGAUAAAACUAAAUGGUCCAAAACUAGGUUGUGGUCUCUCCCAAGUCCAAAGGCAGAAAUAAAUUAUUUUUAGGUAAAGGUAUUAAAACAAGGGAAGCACAAAAAAUCUUAAAAGGAGGUAAAACAACAUGUAUAAACCCAACAAUACACAACAUGAAAAAUCGACACCUACGUAAAUGGUACAGGUUCCUCAUUUCAAAUUAGGAAUAUUAAAUAAAAAAUAAAAGGCAAGUGCUAUUUAUUAAGUUGGUCACUGAUAUUAUCCACAUACAAAGAAUCAUAAACUAAAAUGAAGAUAGAUGACAGAAGCAAGAGGAACGAAAAGAAAAGAAAAAAACUUGUUUCAGUUUCGAGCUAUUUGAUAAUUCAAUGACCCUUGAUUAAAUUUCAUAAACAUUAACAUGUUACAAAACUCACAACUCAAAAAAAAUAAAAAAAAAAAAAAAAAACAGAGAAACUAGUUGUCAUACCUAUACCUAACUAGAAGCAGCAGACGAAGAAGUGGUGAAGGAGGAAUUCACCAACUCAGUGGUUGAGGGGUUGUCUACGACCUCGUUAUUACGACAAAAACAAACAAGAUUUAUUUUUCUAGAAUCAAAAUCAAAUAAUUACAGAAAAUUGGUUAAAUAAAUAAAAUAAUUAAAUGAACACACCGUUGAAUCAGAGUUGGUCUGUGAGUGAAGCGAUUGUAGAGAAUCUCUGGUAUUUGCGUGAGUCAGAGAGUGUUGAUGUAGCAGCAAGUGGAGUAGAGAAAUCUGGAGGGGAAGAGAGAAUGAGAAAUAACUCAUGGCACGAGAAAUCUGAAGGGAGAAGGAAGAGAGGUUGGGUAUAUGAGUGAUUGGUCAUCGACGAAGGAUCGCGCUGGGAGCGUCGAUGGAGGAUUUAGGCCCCGUUUAGG
RNAcentral lists this long non-coding RNA (2130 nucleotides) under Prunus persica (peach). RNAcentral describes it as "long non-coding RNA (PPER_LNC003599)". Lineage: Eukaryota; Viridiplantae; Streptophyta; Magnoliopsida; Rosales; Rosaceae. The record is from RNAcentral.